AACGCGUAGAUAAUCUACCCUUGUGUAUGGGACAACAUCGGGAAACUGGUGCUAAUACCGUAUACGUUUCUGUUAUUGCGAGGUAAAGGAAAGAAAGAUGGGGACCCUUCGGGGCCUAUCGCACGAGGAUGAGUCUGCGUACCAUUAGCUAGUAGGUGGGGUAACGGCCCACCUAGGCGACGAUGGUUAGCGGGUCUGAGAGAAUGAUCCGUCACACUGGCACUGGAACACGGGCCAG
RNAcentral lists this ribosomal RNA (238 nucleotides) under uncultured bacterium. Its description in RNAcentral is "partial 16S ribosomal RNA". It matches the Rfam family "Bacterial small subunit ribosomal RNA", at positions 112 to 334 of the family's 1533-position model. The record is from RNAcentral.